This is a long non-coding RNA of Sinocyclocheilus rhinocerous, 316 nucleotides long. RefSeq lists it as uncharacterized. The transcript is spliced from 3 exons. Lineage: Eukaryota; Metazoa; Chordata; Actinopteri; Cypriniformes; Cyprinidae. The record is from RefSeq and is a predicted model, not a curated record.
UUGCCAUGUCCUCCAAACAGACCCUUCCGCUGCAGGAAUGACAGAGUUUGUCUGCGGACCGAACAAAUCUGCAACGGAGCGAACGACUGUGGCGACAAUACAGACGAAGACGACUGUGCGGAUGUGGUCAAAAGGCCGAGGCCGUGCGGGAAGAGCGAAUUCUCCUGUGCCAAUCACCGCUGCAUCCCAGCCGAGCUCCAGUGCGACUUCUUCGACGAUUGUGAAGACGGCGGAUCGGAUGAGCGCGACUGUAAGGCAUAUUCUGUCGAUGGUGCGUGUCGAGGACGGGCCGACUUGUGCGGAGAUGACGCUUUCU